UGGCAGCACGUUUGUAUUGUAGGG
RNAcentral lists this non-coding RNA (24 nucleotides) under Mus musculus (house mouse). The record is from RNAcentral. Lineage: Eukaryota; Metazoa; Chordata; Mammalia; Rodentia; Muridae.